UGAGGUCUGGUUACUAAAAACCCUACUUUCUUGCCCUAUAAUUAGUUCUUCCCUCACCCCUUCUAGCCAUUGGAAUCCCAUGGCUAUCAAGAUCCAGGACAUUUCCAAGACUAUCAACAACGCCAAUAUUCAUAUUUUUUCACUGCAUGGGUCGUUUAAUUGGGAACAAGUUAUUUCAGGAUUAGGUGUGUUUCUAACUUUCUCAAGCCUGAUCUGUGGUGCAAUUUAGGUGUGUUUUUCUUUCGAUCUCUAAUGCCUAUAUAUGCUUUUCUAUCACGUCAUCUUUUAUGAGAUUAUGUUAGAGAAAUGAAGUUUUGAUAAUUGACGUAUGUGAAUGAAACAUGUUAUUCAUGCUGGUCCUCACAUGUGAAGAACAUUGAAUUGGGUGCAAGACUGAUGAUAAAAUAAUGUGUGAAGUCAGGAGUGGAUAAGCAAGUAAAUUCGCUGUCAACAUUUAUCACGUUCAGAAAAGAGGGUGAGAGUAAGAUAAACACAACACUUGAAGAUUGAACAAAUAAAGGAAUCCUACCUAGUCAAGGAGACAUAAUGCAAUAAGGAGUGUAACUAACUGAUAGAGUCCUAUUGAAGAAAGAAGAUCACAUUAUCUAAAUUCAUCAGAGUUGACUUAAAUAGAAGAAAUGUUUUCAAAAGAGUUUCACUCAAGCACUAAUAAGAAAAACAUCAAUCAACAAAUUCGUUCACUAGCUUGAAGAAGAACCUGUUCCUUUAUUUAGACAGUUGUAGACUUUAUGUAAUAGGCUGGUUCUUUGAGUUGUAAUGAGCUUUAGUUGUAGACUUUGUGUAAUAGGUUGGUUCUUUGAGUUGUAAUAAGCUUUAAUUUUAGUCUCAGUGAAAUAUAAACUGAGUUAGGAAUUGCGUCUUCAAGUUAGGGAACUCGAAGAUUUGGGAACACUUAUCUUUGGAAGAUUUGUGUUAUUGUAGAAAUAGGAG
This 951-nucleotide long non-coding RNA is filed under the name Capsicum annuum. RNAcentral's name for it is "long non-coding RNA (CANN_LNC008966)". Lineage: Eukaryota; Viridiplantae; Streptophyta; Magnoliopsida; Solanales; Solanaceae. The record is from RNAcentral.